GACGAACGCUGGCGGCGUGCUUAACACAUGCGAGUCGAACGGAAAGGCCCUGCUUUUGUGGGGUGCUCGAGUGGCGAACGGGUGAGUAACACGUGAGUAACCUGCCCUUGACUUUGGGAUAACUUCAGGAAACUGGGGCUAAUACCGGAUAGGAGCUCCUGCUGCAUGGUGGGGGUUGGAAAGUUUCGGCGGUUGGGGAUGGACUCGCGGCUUAUCAGCUUGUUGGUGGGGUAGUGGCUUACCAAGGAUUUGACGGGUAGCCGGCCUGAGAGGGUGACCGGCCACAUUGGUACUGAGAUACGGCCCAGACUCCUACGGGAGGCAGCAGUGGGGAAUAUUGCACAAUGGGCGGAAGCCUGAUGCAGCAACGCCGCGUGCGGGAUGACGGCCUUCGGGUUGUAAACCGCUUUCGCCUGUGACGAAGCGUGAGUGACGGUAAUGGGUAAAGAAGCACCGGCUAACUACGUG
RNAcentral lists this ribosomal RNA (468 nucleotides) under uncultured bacterium. Its description in RNAcentral is "partial 16S ribosomal RNA". It matches the Rfam family "Bacterial small subunit ribosomal RNA", at positions 28 to 507 of the family's 1533-position model. The record is from RNAcentral.